This 309-nucleotide long non-coding RNA is filed under the name Glycine max (soybean). RNAcentral describes it as "long non-coding RNA (GMAX_LNC004036)". Lineage: Eukaryota; Viridiplantae; Streptophyta; Magnoliopsida; Fabales; Fabaceae. The record is from RNAcentral.
CCCAAUAAAAAAUUAUCACAUACAUAAAAAAAAUUUCCCUAUCCAUUUUUCAUUUUUAUCCUACAUAAAACUUUAUCACAUACUAACAAGUGUACUCCAACAAAAGCACUGUCAAAUUCAGUAUAUAAACCAGAACAAAGUCCUUCCAUGCGUUUCUAUAUAAAUCAAAGUAAAAAGGGGCAAAAAAGAUUGCUUAAGCUUAUUUUGUGCAUACAUACGGAAAAAGCAAAUUAACUGAACGACUGCGUAAUCCAAGCGUUACGCAUAAUAUACAUUGGUACGCAACUCUAAGUCACUAAUUAAAAGAAA